GACGAACGCUGGCGGCGUGCCUAAUACAUGCAAGUCGAACGGAAAGGCCCGGCUUUUGUGGGGUGCUCGAGUGGCGAACGGGUGAGUAACACGCGAGUAACCCGUCCUUGACUUUGGGAUAACUUUAGGAAACUGGGGCUAAUACCGGAUAGGAGCUCUUGCAGCAUGGUGGGGGUUGGAAAGUUUCGGCUGUGCGGGAUGGACUCGCUGCUUAUCAGCUUGUUUGUGGGGUAGUGGCUUACCAAGGGUUUGACGGGUAGCCGGCCUGAGAGGGUGGACGGCGACAAUGGGCCUGAGAUACGGAGCAGACUGCUACGGGAGGCAGCAGUGGGGAAUCUUGCAGAAUGGGCGGACGCGUGAUGCAGCAACGCUGGGUGCGGGAUGACCGCCUUCGAGUUGUAAACAACUUUCGAAUGUGACGUAGCGUGAGUGACGGUAAUGGGUAAGGAAGCAACGGCUAACUACGUG
RNAcentral lists this ribosomal RNA (468 nucleotides) under uncultured bacterium. RNAcentral describes it as "partial 16S ribosomal RNA". It matches the Rfam family "Bacterial small subunit ribosomal RNA", at positions 28 to 507 of the family's 1533-position model. The record is from RNAcentral.